Paramuricea clavata is the source of this 810-nucleotide non-coding RNA. NCBI's taxonomy places the organism in Eukaryota, Metazoa, Cnidaria, Anthozoa, Malacalcyonacea, Plexauridae. The record is from the annotation of a GenBank genome assembly.
AAAUAAAAAAGAUAGGUCACCGACAUCGUUGUUGAGAUAGCGGCACAUUUAUGGGUUAAAUUGGAAGGCUUUAUGCUGUCGUCAUGUUGCCAUGGGAACAUUGACAUCGUCGAAAUCUAGUUCGAAAUAUUCCUUAGGUGACCAAUAUUACCACCAAGUCGAAAAGAAUUCGCGUUUUGCACGAAUAAGCCUGUUUUACGGAAUUAUUGCUUAAACAAGAAUAACUGUAGGGAGCCACCUUAACUUAACACGAAAAAUUGUCCAUUUUUCUAGAACAUGCAAUGGAUGUUAAAAUACAACAAUAUCAGCUGUCCUGUUUAUAAAGAGGACAUUGUAAAAGCAAUAAAAUUCAAGCUGGACAACAAAGAGCAGGGAAGGAAGAGCAAUGAAUUGAACAAGAAACUGAGAUUAGUUGACAAUUAUACAUUAUAAUUUUAUAUGGUUACUAUAUUGUUCAUUUACUUAAUAUACAGCUAAUUCAAUGGACCUAUGACAAAAAUUUCAUCACAGCUUGAAAGAGCAUCACACACACGCUUUCUGAAAAAAGGUAUCAAAUUCUCUUGCGUAACACAAAAUAACUGAAAAAACGCGAAACUUCGCAGUGCUAUAUAAGAUAUUAGCCGCAUUUUACAACAUUUUGCAACGAAACGUCGGAAUAUUACUAAUUUUGUGAUGCUUUGUCUAGACUUGUCGAGAUCAAAUUUUGUUCAUCAGGGAAUAGGUCCACUAAGGUUGUCCUUCCAAAAACGUAAACCUUAAACUCUGAGCAAGUAAAGUAUGUUUGGUUAUUGCUUAUUUAGACUCAUAAAC